This 529-nucleotide ribosomal RNA is filed under the name uncultured Flavobacteriaceae bacterium. RNAcentral's name for it is "bacterial SSU rRNA". It matches the Rfam family "Bacterial small subunit ribosomal RNA", at positions 1 to 527 of the family's 1533-position model. The record is from RNAcentral. Lineage: Bacteria; Pseudomonadati; Bacteroidota; Flavobacteriia; Flavobacteriales; Flavobacteriaceae.
UAGGGUUUGAUUAUGGCUCAGGAUGAACGCUAGCGGCAGGCCUAACACAUGCAAGUCGAGGGGUAACAGAGAGAAGCUUGCUUUUCUGCUGACGACCGGCGCACGGGUGCGUAACGCGUAUACAAUCUGCCUUAUACAGAGGGAUAGCCUUUAGAAAUGAAGAUUAAUACCUUAUAGUCUAUUUUUAUAGCAUUAUAUAAAUAGUAAAGCUUCGGUGGUAUAAGAUGAGUAUGCGUCCUAUUAGUUAGUUGGUAAGGUAACGGCUUACCAAGACAACGAUAGGUAGGGGCCCUGAGAGGGGGAUCCCCCACACUGGUACUGAGACACGGACCAGACUCCUACGGGAGGCAGCAGUGAGGAAUAUUGGACAAUGGAGGCAACUCUGAUCCAGCCAUGCCGCGUGCAGGAUGACGGCCCUAUGGGUUGCAAACUGCUUUUAUAUAGGAAGAAACCUUUUCACGUGUGAGAAGCUGACGGUACUAUAAGAAUAAGGACCGGCUAACUCCGUGCCAGCCGCCGCGGUAAUACA